RNAcentral lists this long non-coding RNA (1314 nucleotides) under Aotus nancymaae (Ma's night monkey). RNAcentral's name for it is "lncRNA (ENSANAG00000038620.1)". Lineage: Eukaryota; Metazoa; Chordata; Mammalia; Primates; Aotidae. The record is from RNAcentral.
GCUAUUUCUCUCUCUGCAUGAAAGACAAAUGAAAUUGUUUGUGUGAUUAUCUCCGAAGAGGAAAGGGAAAAUGAGAGCAAAACUCGACAACCAGAAGGCCCAUAAAAUUGGGCUCUAGCUACAGACAUGUGGGGUACCUGCAAUGAAUCCCUUCACGGGAGUCCCUCAUCUCCAGGUUGGCUGUUUGAUUACAGAGCAGGGAUGCUGGAAGGCACAAGACAGUUCAGAUUGCUGGAAAACCAGCUCCCGGAAUGACAGCUCACCAGCUCCAUAGGGCAGCGUCUUCUCAAUCUUAUAAUCGGGCAAGAGAUAAGCAUGGUGAAGAUGACAGCUGGAGAGCCCAAAUACUUUUUGAGGACUUUGGGGAAAGCAGAAGGCCAGACACGAGUACCUACAGGGGCCGACGGAUCCAAGGAGAAGUCCUAGCGAAAGGAAGGACCCAGCAGCUCCCUCCUGCCAGCGCUGGAUACCCUGGCGCUGGUGCCCAGUCCAGCAAUGAUAUGUGAGGCACCAGUCAGGGACACUGCUCACCUUCCUCUGGGCCCAGCCACCAUGAAGGCCAAAGCAGAGCCCCCGCGCAGGCCAGCUCACGUCCCAUUCUGCCAUGUCUCAUGCUGGAGAGAAUUGUAUUGAUAGAAAAUGUCAAAAUGCAAAAGAAUGCCCUGACUUUUGACUUUUUUCCUGUGACCUUUUCAUUAAAGCAACUAAUAGGAGUGAUAUAACAAUAGAAUGAUUUAAUAAUUAGAUCCAGGACACAUUUGGUCUUCAUUAUUACAAUGAUUACUUUUCAGUAACAUGAAGAAAAACAUGAAUCUUAAAGUAAUUCUCAAUAAUUUAAUUAAGGUCAACCAUUCCCUAAAGAGCAGCAGCUGUGUUUGGAAAAAGAUUUCUGAGAAAUCCUGAUAAUACAGUCCUAGGUAUUCAGAGCUGCUCUGGGGACCCACGUGCCUUUCAAUACGAACCAGGGUGGCACAUUCCAUUGUUUUGUUUUGAGGAAGCGAAAUACAACAGAGUUCCCAAAUGUGUUCAUUUUAUUACAACCCAGCUGUGACUGAGCAGGUCGGAGCCCAGAAGCAUCUUCUAUCACCCCCUUGGUGCAGAGGGUUUUUUGAUUCUCUUAUUUCAGCCGCUUUGGGGUCAUUGGGCCGUCCAUUAAUUCUUAGGUUCCAUGAAGCUAAAUUAGUUUAAUUUAGCCUGAGCUGAAAUGAGAUAACUCUCCCGAAGUAAAGGGCAGGAGAGACCGAGUGCAGACUUGUUCCUGGGCUUGGGCUUCUUUCCAGGGCUCCCACCCCAACCAAGCCAUCACCUUCUCUC